RNAcentral lists this ribosomal RNA (254 nucleotides) under uncultured bacterium. Its description in RNAcentral is "partial 16S ribosomal RNA". It matches the Rfam family "Bacterial small subunit ribosomal RNA", at positions 524 to 776 of the family's 1533-position model. The record is from RNAcentral.
UACGUAGGGGGCAAGCGUUGUUCGGAAUGACUGGGCGUAAAGGGUGCGUAGGCGGUGUAGCAAGUUAGAAGUGAAAUACCUAGAGCUUAACUCAGGUGCUGCUUCUAAAACUGCUAUACUUGAGUGCAGUAGAGGAGAGUGGAAUUCCUAGUGUAGCGGUGGAAUGCGUAGAUAUUAGGAGGAACAUCAGUGGCGAAAGCGGCUCUCUGGUCUGUAACUGACGCUGAGGUUCGAAAGCGUGGGUAGCAAACAGG